UAAUAAAAAGAGAUGACAACGGAAUACAUGAUUAUCUUAUGAACUUCAUUAGUCUACAGCUGUUUCUACUGUAAGAUGCAGUGGACUUGUAGUUGGAUACCCCCUUUG
Molecule: long non-coding RNA, 108 nt
Organism: Octopus sinensis (East Asian common octopus)
Lineage: Eukaryota; Metazoa; Mollusca; Cephalopoda; Octopoda; Octopodidae
Exons: 3
Source: RefSeq, a predicted model, not a curated record